RNAcentral lists this ribosomal RNA (254 nucleotides) under uncultured bacterium. RNAcentral's name for it is "partial 16S ribosomal RNA". It matches the Rfam family "Bacterial small subunit ribosomal RNA", at positions 524 to 777 of the family's 1533-position model. The record is from RNAcentral.
UACGUAGGGCGCAAGCGUUGUCCGGAAUUAUUGGGCGUAAAGGGCGCGUAGGCGGUGCGGUAAGUCCGCAGUGAAAUCUCUGGGCUCAACUCAGAGUCUGCUGUGGAAACUGCCGUGCUUGAGUGUGGGAGAGGUGAGUGGAACUGCGAGUGUAGAGGUGAAAUUCGUAGAUAUUCGCAAGAACACCAGUGGCGAAGGCGGCUCACUGGCCCGAUACUGACGCUGAGGCACGAAAGCGUGGGGAGCAAAGCAGG